This is a transfer RNA of Camelus ferus (Wild Bactrian camel), 71 nucleotides long. It matches the Rfam family "tRNA". Rfam says of the family: Transfer RNA (tRNA) molecules are approximately 80 nucleotides in length. The record is from Rfam. Lineage: Eukaryota; Metazoa; Chordata; Mammalia; Artiodactyla; Camelidae.
GAGGGUACAGCUCAGUGGUAGAGCACGUGCUUAGCAUGCACGAGGUCCUGGGUUCAAUCCCAGUACGUCCC